This 189-nucleotide ribosomal RNA is filed under the name Salsuginibacillus halophilus. RNAcentral describes it as "partial 16S ribosomal RNA". It matches the Rfam family "Bacterial small subunit ribosomal RNA", at positions 1 to 168 of the family's 1533-position model. The record is from RNAcentral. Lineage: Bacteria; Bacillati; Bacillota; Bacilli; Caryophanales; Bacillaceae.
CUUUAUCGGAGAGUUUGAUCCUGGCUCAGGACGAACGCUGGCGGUGUGCCUAAUACAUGCAAGUCGAGCGCGUGAAACCAGUUGAUUCCCUUCGGGGAUGACACUGGUGGAUCGAGCGGCGGACGGGUGAGUAACACGUGGGCAACCUGCCCUGCAGAUCGGGAUAACCCCGGGAAACCGGGGCUAAUA